UCCCCAGUGCAGGUGCGGGCUGAGCACACGGCAGCACAUGGGCAGAUGAGGUCGUGUGACUCCCGUCUGUGCUCUCUGCCCCUCUCAAG
Molecule: microRNA precursor, 89 nt
Organism: Cricetulus griseus (Chinese hamster)
Lineage: Eukaryota; Metazoa; Chordata; Mammalia; Rodentia; Cricetidae
Source: Ensembl